Clupea harengus (Atlantic herring) is the source of this 200-nucleotide long non-coding RNA. RefSeq lists it as uncharacterized. The record is from RefSeq and is a predicted model, not a curated record. Lineage: Eukaryota; Metazoa; Chordata; Actinopteri; Clupeiformes; Clupeidae. The transcript is spliced from 2 exons.
CAGAAGGAGGGAAGGUGAAGGGCUCCUCUUCAAGGAGCCUAUUGCAUCAGGAGAGACCUCCAUCACCUGUGCCCACUUGUGUGUCCAUGAAGAGCGAUCGGUCAAAGGAUUGUGACACCAACUUCCAACAUGGAGAUGACACAGAUGGAUCAAUGACUGGAGGGGCAAAAAGGUAAAUUAUCUCAGUUUACAGCAUGAUG